Portunus trituberculatus (swimming crab) is the source of this 2723-nucleotide RNA transcript. RefSeq lists it as uncharacterized. The transcript has 4 exons. The record is from RefSeq and is a predicted model, not a curated record. NCBI's taxonomy places the organism in Eukaryota, Metazoa, Arthropoda, Malacostraca, Decapoda, Portunidae.
CAUUCCAUAGUUUGCCGGUUAGUGUCUUUCCCACUACACUCUCCCUCCCUUCAUAAAUUUAAGAUCAUCAACAUUUUAAAGUUACGUAUAUACGUACAUAGAAGCUCAACAGAAUUGUAACACGGAAGAAGUAACAAAUCUGUUAAGGGGAAUUAAAAUGGCCUUUUCAUAUUUGGAUGCUAAUAUGAUGAAAAAGUUAAUUAGUUCUAUGAUAAGACCAAGAAGACUGGAGUAUGCAGCGAUUGUGUGGCCCCCACAUACUAAGAAGAAUAUUAGAAAAUUGGAGAGGGUACAAAGGGCAGCCACCAAGUUAGUACUGAAGGAUUUGACUUACGAGGAGCGGUUGAGAAAACUGGAAUUUCCAACACUUGAAAGUAGGAGAGAAAGGGGAGACUUGACAGGUAUUUAUAGAAUGGUGAAUAACCUGGAUAAAGUGGAUGGAGACUUUUUAAACUUGGAAACAUGGACUACAAGGGGACAUGGGAAGAAAUUGAAGAAGGUGCAGUGUAUAAGAAACAUUAAGAAGUACAGUUUCCCUCAUAGAACUGUGGACACCUGGAAUGGAUUAGAUAUAGACAUCGUAAAUGCAGUCAGUGUUAACAGUUUCAAAGCUAAGUUGGACGAAACAAGGUAUAAAGACAGGUCAAUAUGAGCUUACUCCCCUCCCGUAAAUUAUAACUAGGUAAAUAUAUGAUCUUUGUCUAAAUCUGUUACCUGUAUUUACCUCAUAUUCAUGCAGAUAUUGCACCCAAAUAUUUUUGUUAUAGUUUUAUAGGAUAUUUCCAAAAUGUUAGUUAAUGAUACUGGCCUGUAGUUUAGAAGGCCCAUUUUGUUAUUGCUUUUGUAAGUAUGCAUUACAUUAGCAUUACAUUAUUUAUGGACAUACUUUCUUCUUUCAUUGAAAUAUUUAUGACUUUCUAAUCUAGAAACACCAGUUGAUCUCUAUAUUCUGACACAUCAUCUGGUCAUAUUGCUUUUCUAGCAUCUAAAUCACAGGAGAUUUUUUAUAUCAUAUUUCGCCAUCUUAAUUUCAUUUAAUCCUUCAUUAGAUAUUCCACCUGUAGGCACUACAAAAUCUGCUUUCUUUUUAAAUGCAAAUUUAAAAUUCUCAUUCAUAAUCUUGUUCAUCUCCUUAUCAGCUUCAUAUGUCCUUCUGCCUCUUUUUAACUUUACAAUGCAUACUAUCUUUACAUUUCUUUUUGCUAUCUAUGUAUCUGUAGGAAAGUUUAAGUUCCUCAACUUUUUUCUCAUUAUAUCCUCAAUUUUCCUCUCUCAUAUUCCAAGGUAUUACUGUAAAUUCUGGCUUUUUAAUUUUCUUUUCUACAUAUUUUCUUAUUUUCUCUGCUUCCUCACCUUUUUCCACAUGUUGUUCUUCACACACCUGGCAUUAUAUCAACUACACUUGGUUAUUUUCACUUUGUGCAUUAAUAAAGAUUUAAAUCCUCCAUCAUGCUGUUUAUCUAAUUGUUUCUUAUUUUUCUAUACUUCUUUGUCUUUCAACACCUUAUUCCACUUUAUAAGUCCUUAAAUUUUUCUAGGUUCUUUAAAAUUUUUCUUUCCAUAGUACAUAUAUGUGUAUGUGGGUUUGUAUUUGUAUAUCUUUCAUCUUUGUAGUGUGGCAAGACUACUUUGACCAACUUCCUGAGUGAAGCAGGAGAAGUUGGGGGUGGAGGAUAUCGUCCAACCAAAGGAUGUCGUAUUGUGGAGUUUGAGAUCCCCAAUCUGAAUGUUAAUAAUAUGACCACCAAGGUAGAGGUUGAGUUGUGGGAUGUCAGUGGAGACAGAAGUUCGCAGCACAGCAGGGUGUGAGGGAGGCACAGUGUAUUGUCUUCUGCCACCACAAGCCAGGUGUCCAGGGAAAAGGAGGGAAACUAUCUAAUGCAUUCAGCAAGAUUCCUCUGAUCGACACACAGCUAGAGGAGGACAGCGGAAGUGUUCGCAGGGACUUCAAUAGUGAUCUGCAAGCCUGCAAUUCACUGCAGUAGCCCUAGACAACCACUCCACAAACACCAAGACACACCACACACCACCAAGAUCCUCAUCCUUGUUCAAAUAAGCUCAAAAACACUCAAAUUACAUAUUUUUUAUAAUGUUGUUCAUUUAUAUUAUUAUUUUUUUUUUUUUUUUUUUUCUUAUUUAUUUAUUUUUUUUUUUACCAUAAAAAGCUGGAAAACACUAAAAUGGCAUAUUUCUACUGAUGUCUUUUUGUUCCUUUGUAUUAACUGAUUUUCAUUAAUUUUAGCAUUUUAUUAUGUAACAAAGUAAAAGAUUUUUUUUUUUUUUUUUUUUCUUUUAAGAAAUGUAUUGUUUCCCAACAUUAGAUUUUUUUUACGAGAAAUAUAAUUUUCUCAUUAAUCAAUCUAAGAAAACCCAAAUUUGUUUUUAUUUGUGAUGUUUAUAUAGUGCAUUUGGAAGCAUUUUAUUUAGUUUUGGUGCAUAAAAAAGUUUGGAAAUGCCCACAAAACACCUUUUUGCUGGUGUGAUUUUGUUUAGGUGUACUGGCUGUUUUUCAUUAACUUUGUCAUUUUGAUACAUAACCAAAUAAAAGGAUUCAAUAAAUCAAUUCCAUAAUGUAUCAUUUAUGUGAAAUACCAGUAUUUUCACAAAACAAUCUAGGAAAUACUCAAAUUACACAAUUCUAGUAAUGUCUAUGUAAUACAUUUUGUCUUCAUAUCUGGAUUUUGGUGCAUAAUAAGCAGAAAACACUAAAAAGACACAUUUCA